UACGUAGGGUCCGAGCGUUGUCCGGAAUUACUGGGCGUAAAGAGCUCGUAGGUGGUUUGUCGCGUUGUUCGUGAAAACUCACAGCUCAACUGUGGGCGUGCGGGCGAUACGGGCAGACUUGAGUACUGCAGGGGAGACUGGAAUUCCUGGUGUAGCGGUGGAAUGCGCAGAUAUCAGGAGGAACACCGGUGGCGAAGGCGGGUCUCUGGGCAGUAACUGACGCUGAGGAGCAAAAGCGUGGGGAGCGAACAGG
RNAcentral lists this ribosomal RNA (253 nucleotides) under uncultured bacterium. Its description in RNAcentral is "partial 16S ribosomal RNA". It matches the Rfam family "Bacterial small subunit ribosomal RNA", at positions 524 to 776 of the family's 1533-position model. The record is from RNAcentral.